This 245-nucleotide long non-coding RNA is filed under the name Hordeum vulgare. Its description in RNAcentral is "long non-coding RNA (HVUL_LNC012352)". Lineage: Eukaryota; Viridiplantae; Streptophyta; Magnoliopsida; Poales; Poaceae. The record is from RNAcentral.
ACGUGUGUGGGUGUGAUCUGCUGGGUUGUAUGACGCUGUGGUAGAAGGCGAGCCAGAUGGCCAAGAUCAAUUGCUUCAUUGUGCCAUUGUACGGUUCUGCUGAGAUAGGCGUGGCAACGUCCUCGGAAGCGAUGGCAGCGCCUCGCCCUCUCGCCCACUUCUCCACGGAACCGACGUCAUCCAUGGCCACACCAACGUCUUCGGCGCCAGUCUUACCCCAUAAUGUCGGCCUCGAAGCCUGCAGG